CAGAGGAGGAAGAAGUGCUAAACUUGGAGGAGAUAAAUAUACACUGUGUGCACAAUUAUUAGGCAAGUUGUAUUUUUGAGGAUAAAUUUUAUUUUUGAACAACUGCAGUGCUCUCGCUCAAUCCAAAAUGUUAAUAAACCUCAAACCUUAAUAUUUAAGGGAGUAAAAGUGAGAUUUUGACUUCCUUAGGAGAAUAUCUAUGUGUGCAUAAUUAUUGGGGACAGCUAUUAGUGUGUAGAAUUAUUAUGCAACUAAAUUAAAAAUGAAAAAUUUUCCAUCUCACUUGUUUAUUUUCACUUGUUAAAGUGAGAAUGAUAAACAAACAACUCAAUUUACAAAUAAAAAUUGUUGAAAUUAAAAAAAAAAAAUCUGUGACCAAUAUAGCCACCCUUCUUUUCAUUAACAGUCAUAAGCCUUCCAUUCAUGGAGUCUUUCAGUUUCUUGAUCUGUUGACGAUCAACUUUUUGUGUUGCAGUAACCAAAGCCUUCCAGACACUGUUCCAGACACUGUUCAGAGAGGUGUACUGUCUUCCUUCACUGUAAAUUUCCCGUUUAAGAAGGGCUCACAAGUUCUCAACAGGGUUUAGGUCAGGUGAAGAAGGAGGCCACAUCAUUAUUCUUUUGUUUUUAAGGCCUUUACUGGCGAGCCACAUAGUGGAGUACUUUGUUGCAUGCAAUGGAGCAUUGUCCUGCAUAAAAAUCAUGGUUUUCUUGAAAGAUGCAGACUUUUGCCUGUACCACUGCUUGAAGAAAGUGUCUUCUAAAAACUAGCAUUGGAUUUGGGAGUUGAUUUUAAGUCCAUCUUUAACCCAAAAAGGUCCAGCUAGCUCAUCUUUAAUAAUACCAGCCCAUACCAGUACCCCGCCUCCACCUUGCUGGUGUCUGAUUCGAAGUGGAGCUCUGUGCCCAUUACUGAUCCAGCCACGGGCCC
Non-coding RNA from Xyrichtys novacula (pearly razorfish), 931 nucleotides. The record is from the annotation of a GenBank genome assembly. Lineage: Eukaryota; Metazoa; Chordata; Actinopteri; Labriformes; Labridae.